This 460-nucleotide ribosomal RNA is filed under the name uncultured bacterium. RNAcentral's name for it is "partial 16S ribosomal RNA". It matches the Rfam family "Bacterial small subunit ribosomal RNA", at positions 338 to 795 of the family's 1533-position model. The record is from RNAcentral.
CCUACGGGAGGCAGCAGUGAGGAAUAUUGGUCAAUGGGCGCUAGCCUGAACCAGCCAAGUAGCGUGAAGGAUGACUGCCCUAUGGGUUGUAAACUUCUUUUAUAUGGGAAUAAAGUGCAGUACGUAUACUGCUUUGCAUGUACCUUAUGAAUAAGGAUCGGCUAACUCCGUGCCAGCAGCCGCGGUAAUACGGAGGAUCCGAGCGUUAUCCGGAUUUAUUGGGUUUAAAGGGAGCGUAGGCGGGUUGUUAAGUCAGUUGUGAAAGUUUGCGGCUCAACCGUAAAAUUGCAGUUGAUACUGGCAGCCUUGAGUACAGUAGAGGUAGGCGGAAUGCGUGGUGUAGCGGUGAAAUGCUUAGAUAUCACGAAGAACUCCGAUUGCGAAGGCAGCCUGCUGGACUGUAACUGACGCUGAUGCUCGAAAGUGUGGGUAUCAAACAGGAUUAGAUACCCUUGUAGUC